Molecule: ribosomal RNA, 133 nt
Filed under: uncultured bacterium
Lineage: Bacteria
Description: partial 16S ribosomal RNA
Rfam family: Bacterial small subunit ribosomal RNA
Source: RNAcentral
AAUAUUGCACGAAUGGGGGCAACCCUGAUGCAGCGACGCCGCGUGGGUGAUGACGGCCUUCGGGUUGUAAAGCCCUUUGCCACUGAUGAGGAAGGACAGUAGGUGGCGAAUAAGCCUCGGCUAACUACGUGCC